Long non-coding RNA from Solanum stenotomum, 426 nucleotides. RefSeq lists it as uncharacterized. Lineage: Eukaryota; Viridiplantae; Streptophyta; Magnoliopsida; Solanales; Solanaceae. The record is from RefSeq and is a predicted model, not a curated record. The transcript is spliced from 2 exons.
CGUAUUACUGCUUCAAAUUCAUUUUGCUAGUACAAGGGGAGUCUUAAAUAUGUUCCAGAAUGAGAUAUUCCAAUAGAGUGGAACUCGAUGUUGAACCAGCUUGACCAACUCGGAUUUGAUGGUUUGGAGGUUCACAUACUUCUUAGACAUUGUUUAUCGCUACUUCCUUUACUUGGACAUCUUUCUAGUUUUGAUCUGACAUUUAUUUUUAAGUGUUUGUAAAUGGAUCAAGAGGGAAAGUAUAACAGGUAAGUUACAAGUUAAUAGUGUACUUGCUCCUACACUCUUUGCAAGUUCUAUUGAGUAAAAAAUAGCCAAAGUUUGAUGAGAGCUGCCUUUUGUUUUAAUAUAGUAAUUUGGACCAAUAUUUUAGUAAGAAAUUCUAAUUUUUCUUCAUACUGAAAUGCUGAUGUGUUGUGUUAUAAA